UGGUAUGUAUCAAACGCAUGCGUACAAAAGAUCUUCCGAUUUCACUGUAAUAAUGUUGCAGUUAAUACUAGACUCAUAUGCACAUGCGCGUGCUUAGGGGGGGCAAAAUCUUCGAAAUAGAGCGUGUAGUGGGGUGAAUCGUACGAAUCCCAGAACAGAACGGAGCAAUGAACCGUUCCGUAGGAUGUAACAACCAGUCAGUAAAGAGGGGAAAAGCAAUAGUGGGGGAUAAUAUGCAGCAUUCUAUAGAGCAGAAAUGUAGAAGUGGGGCACGUGCCAACUUCUACUUAAAGAGAUGUAUGGUGGGGAGAUGACCGAGAGUAGGGGAAAUAUGCAUCUUGGAGCGCGUUGAACGAAAAUUUAAGGUAGUCUGUGAGCAGGCGAGUGACUAUGCGCUUGCGUGGCCCUCGGAGAGUUCUUUUCUUUUUUUAAUUUUCCUUUUUUUCCUCUCGUCUGUUUUUGUUCGCAUUUUCCUUUCCUCUCAUUUCUUCUCUUUUCUUUAUCUUUUUCUUCAGAACAUCGAUUCAAUCUCCGAGGGUCUACAACCUUCUUUCCUGCUUUCCUUUCACCCGAUUCGACAUGUUAAAUUGAAAUCACCGAGAGCAAUUGUUGAGCCAGGCCAAAUUUGGAACUGAUAAUACGAACCUACCCAAAUUGGAUCAGGAAAUACACCGAAGAUUCUUAAGUGAAAUCAAAAUGAAAUUCGUCGAACUGGCAAAACAUUGAAGAAUAUUCUGAUAAUAAUAGCAAUUACUAAACACAAACACCAAUUGAUUCGAAAUGAUAUGAUGACACUAUUCACUAAUAAAACACGGCUGAACCAUUGUUUGACGGAUCGUCAAUAAUGUCGAAAUUGGAAAAGGAAAAGCAAAAAUCCUCUAUUGUCGAGGAUUUGUAAAUAUAUUUAUUUGUAUAUACAAAUAUGUAUACGUAAUCUGUAUAAAGAGAGAGAUGUAGAGUACUGAUAUUAAAAGUACAACGCUACUCAAGACAUGCUCGGUGAAUGAGAAUUUCUUUCGAAAUUGGCCAGUAGUCGGCGUUGCAGAUCACAUACUGAUGUAUCUAAGAAACAAUUAUGUACAACAACUUCUACAAAUUUUUUAUUUUCAUAAAAAAACAAAGAUAUUUUGGGACACAACUGAAGAUAUAUUACAAAUAACCAUUUACAAGUUUUAUAGCAGAUAUAUAUAUAUAUAUAUAUAUAAUUUUAUUACAAAGGAAUAGUUUUAUCAAAGAUCCGUUUCUAUUUAUACUGCCUUCUUAAUGGGAUGAAGAUAUUGAAAGCUGUAUUAUAAUCUUCGACUCCGACAUUUUAUUGGUAUGCCAGUUAAUCUUUUACUUAAUUAAUUGAUUAAAUAAUGCAAAACUUUAAAAAUGUGUCUAUUCUGCGAUGAAUGAUUAUUGGCAUUAAUGUAAAUAUAUUUCUAUGUAAGUGAUUCUAAUAUUUAUUCAUAAUAAUUCAUAAAUAGUUAUAAGUUUUUAUAUUUUAUUUUAAGAUUUUAGAAAUUAGAAUUUUAGAAAUUAAAUUAAAAUAAUAAUAAAUAUUAAUAUAAUAAAAUAUUUUAAGGAAUUUAUAAAAUUUUCGAAGAUUUCAAAACGCCGAGCAAUAAUUUAUCGUAAUUUAUUUAUUUAAGAUUAACAAUGAUUUUUCAUUUUGAGUUUCAUUUUAGCUUUUCUUUCUUUUAUUUUACUUAAAUUACAAAUAACAAAAGAAAGAAAAUUCGUUUGAAAUUAAAAUGAAACAAAAACAAUAUAACGAUCUAGUCAAGAAGUGAUAAAGAUUUAAAUAUUUAAUGCGAGAAUCAAAAUAUAUAGAUAAUCUAGUCUAAAAAAAAAGAAAAAUUUAGUCAUGAUCUAGUCAAAAUCGAGUAAUAUUUAUUUAAUCAUAAAAUAUAUAUUAUAUUCUAGUCACUAUUUAAUAUUCCAAUUGGUGCCACGAAUCAACUUUGAGACAAUUUUUUUAAAAUUUCUUUGAUUACUACUAAAAAUUAAGCUGAAAAUAAAUUACAAAAAAUAUAUAUUUAAUUUAAUUUCACGUAGCAUCAAUGAGGCUGUGUACAUACUUUCUCUUGUCUUUUUUUGUUUCUAAUCACAUCAUAUUUCUAGUCAGUACGUUUUCAAUUAAUACAUAGAUAUUAUAAGUUUCAUUUCAUAUUCCUCAAAGAAUAUGCAGGCCACAUAUAAAUGCAAUUUGGAACUUUUUUCAAAUAGUAUCUAGUCAUGUAAACAUUUGUUCAUAUUUAUAUAUAUUUUCUCAAACAGAUAUGUGUGGAUGCGAUGCCAUAAAAAAAUUAAAUUGCAAAAAUAUAUUAUACUCGAUUUUUAUAAUUUUAAAAAAAUUAAAAAUAGUUUAAAAGUUGCAGUAUAUAUAUAUUAUUUAAUCAUAUAUAGAUUAAUGUAAUUUAUUGAUUAAUCUAUUUAUUUCGGGAAACGUGCCAGUAAGUAACAUUAUUAUCAUAUAGAAUUCAUAAGAAAAAUUUUUUUAUUAAAUAUAAUUCCAACUAUAUAAAACAAAUAAAAUUUUUACAAUAAUUUAUUUCACAACCAUUUUUUUAAAUUAAUAUACUACUAAUACGAUUGUCGGCAAAAACAAAUAUUACCUACGUAGAGUAUUGAUAAUUUUGAUAUUUUUCUUAAAUUAAUAUAAUUUGAUGACAAAUUAAUUAAAUCCAUAAAAAAGUCCUAUAUGGCAGCUUUAAAGAUAAAAUUAGUAUAUAUUUUUCAAUAAUUUCAAAAUAAUAAAAUUAUUAAGCAGAAAUAUAUAAUAAAUUAAAAAAAAUCAUAUAUUUUUAGAUAAAAAUGCGAAUUUGUAAAAGUAUUACGAGGCUGUGUUUAAUAAAUAAGAAAAAUGAUAUAUUAAUUAAUAUAAUUUUCAUUUUUUUUUAAGUUAGAUAUCUUUAUUAGUACAUUUCGAUAAUAUCCAUCAUAAAUAUACCGACUGAAGAUAAUAUAUAACAUUUAAAUUUUAUUUAUUUUGACAAUAAUUUUAUUUAUUUUGAAAUAUCAUAACGACAAACUUAUUUAUUAUAUUACUUAUCUGUACAGCGAUUAUUAAAAAAAUUUUAUUUAAAUUAACAUAACUAUAUUAUUAAGAGUGGCAUCUAGUCAACCAAUCCAUGGACAUUAACUCGAACAGUUUCCAGGUAUUUAAAAGAAGAAAUAAAAAAAUAAAUUAAUUAAAUGAACAGUGUGUUAAUUAAUAAAAAAAAAAAGAAAAUAAUUCAUAUACAUUAAAUCUUUUAACAUUUUUUAUCAUGCAACUUUUUUUUAUAUUUAACUUGGCUAACUUAGUAGAGUAUGUAUGAUCUCAGUCCAUGGAUAAUAAAUCUAGUCUACGAUAUUCUGAAGAAAGCGAAAAAAAAAUCAAGAUUAAAUCCAAAAUGUAAUUAAUAAUUAAAUAUAUAUAACUUAAUUUAAAAACAUCUUAUCAUAAUUUAAAAUAAAAAUUUUUAUUAUAGUUUAUAAUUUAAUAACAAGAUAUACUUUGUAAGUGUCUUACGUAUGGUAAAUUAUAUAUUAAAGUAGAUUUUAUAAGAUAAUUUAUAAAAUAUUUAAUGAACUAAAUUUGUAGUAUAAAAAUUUAGAAUGUAAGUAAGAUAAUCAUACUUGUAUAACCGUAUUACUUCAUUAUAUAUUUUUUUUUUAUAAUUUAUUAAUAAUAAUUUGCUGUGUUGUGUGCUGUAUGUUUUUUUCAAAUAUCUAUUUAUCAAAUAUCUAUUAUGGUAAUAUAUAUCACGAUAUAAUUUUUUUCAAUAUUUAUUGUCAUUAUAUUUGCGUGUCGUGUGUGUGUAUUAUUUUUAAUAUUAUAUUAUAUUUAUUAACAAUUAAAAUUGUAAUCAAUAGUUUUGUUCUCAGAAAAUAAUUUCAAUUAAAAUUCAUAAUAUCCAUCUACAUUAAUAAUCAUAUUUUUGUAAUUGAUAUAAACAAUUUUAAUAUAAAAAAUUAAUUUUUUCUUGUAAUAUCCAAAUAUACCGAAUAAAAUUUUAAACCUUAAAA
Molecule: long non-coding RNA, 3996 nt
Organism: Apis cerana (Asiatic honeybee)
Lineage: Eukaryota; Metazoa; Arthropoda; Insecta; Hymenoptera; Apidae
Source: RefSeq, a predicted model, not a curated record